Molecule: ribosomal RNA, 592 nt
Filed under: Staphylococcus epidermidis
Lineage: Bacteria; Bacillati; Bacillota; Bacilli; Caryophanales; Staphylococcaceae
Description: bacterial LSU rRNA
Rfam family: Bacterial large subunit ribosomal RNA
Source: RNAcentral
CCCGAAACGAGAUGAUCUACCCUUGGUCAGGUUGAAGUUGAGGUAUAACUGAAUGGAGGACCGAACCGACUUACGUUGAAAAGUGAGCGGAUGAACUGAGGGUAGCGGAGAAAUUCCAAUCGAACUUGGAGAUAGCUGGUUCUCUCCGAAAUAGCUUUAGGGCUAGCCUCAAGUGAUGAUUAUUGGGGGUAGAGCACUGUUUGGACGAGGGGCCCCUCUCGGGUUACCGAAUUCAGACAAACUCCGAAUGCCAAUUAAUUUAACUUGGGAGUCAGAACAUGGGUGAUAAGGUCCGUGUUCGAAAGGGAAACAGCCCAGACCACCAGCUAAGGUCCCAAAAUAUAUGUUAAGUGGAAAAGGAUGUGGCGUUGCCCAGACAACUAGGAUGUUGGCUUAGAAGCAGCCAUCAUUUAAAGAGUGCGUAAUAGCUCACUAGUCGAGUGACACUGCGCCGAAAAUGUAACGGGGCUAAACAUAUUACCGAAGCUGUGGAUUGUCCUUUGGACAAUGGUAGGAGAGCGUUCUAAGGGCGUCGAAGCAUGAUCGCAAGGACAUGUGGAGCACUUAGAAGUGAGAAUGCCGGUGUGAGUAG